AUUAGAGAAGCGUUCUUCCGCGCCAGACCGGUGCAAAAGUCUCCUGGAAUGGAGCGUCAUAGAGGGUGAGAAUCCCGUCUUUGGCACGGAUGCUUGGUGCUCUGUGAUGCGCUCUCGAAGAGUCGAGUUGUUUGGGAAUGCAGCUCAAAAUGGGUGGUGAACUCCAUCUAAAGCUAAAUAUUGGCGAGAGACCGAUAGCGAACAAGUACCGUGAGGGAAAGAUGAAAAGCACUUUGGAAAGAGAGUGAAACAGUACGUGAAAUUGUUGAAAGGGAAACGCUUGAAGUCAGUCGCGUUGACCAAGACUCAACCUUGCUUCGGCUUGGUGUUCUUCUUGGCUUAACGGGCCAGCAUCAAUUUUGCCUCUCGGAUAAUGGCAAGGGAAAGGUGGCACCUUUACGGGUGUGUUAUAGUCUUUUGUCGCAUGCGAGGGGUGGGAUUGAGGAACUCAGCACGCGCCUCUUGGUGUCGGGGUUUAGGCCCACGAUACGUGCUUAGGAUGUUGGCGUAAUGGCUUUAAACGACCCGUCUUGAAACACGGACCAAGGAGUCUAACAUGCCCGCGAGUGUUCGGGUGGAAAACCCGUGUGCGUAAUGAAAGUAAAAGUUGGGACCUCUGUCGUGGAGGGCACCGACGCCCGGACCAGACCUUCUGUGACGGAUCUGCGGUAGAGCGUGUAUGUUGGGACCCGAAAGAUGGUGAACUAUGCCUGAAUAGGGUGAAGCCAGAGGAAACUCUGGUGGAGGCUCGUAGCGAUUCUGACGUGCAAAUCGAUCGUCAAAUUUGGGUAUAGGGGCGAAAGACUAAUCGAACCAU
RNAcentral lists this ribosomal RNA (817 nucleotides) under Lactifluus tropicosinicus. RNAcentral describes it as "eukaryotic LSU rRNA". It matches the Rfam family "Eukaryotic large subunit ribosomal RNA", at positions 149 to 943 of the family's 3401-position model. Lineage: Eukaryota; Fungi; Basidiomycota; Agaricomycetes; Russulales; Russulaceae. RNAcentral also lists the same sequence under 1 other name. The record is from RNAcentral.